GAUGAACGCUAGCGGCAGGCUUAACACAUGCAAGUCGAGGGGUAUAGUAGCAAUACUAGAGACCGGCGCACGGGUGCGUAACGCGUAUGCAAUCUACCUUUUACAGAGGGAUAGCCCAGAGAAAUUUGGAUUAAUACCUCAUAGCAUUGCGAAAUGGCAUCAUUUUGCAAUUAAAGUCACAACGGUAAAAGAUGAGCAUGCGUCCCAUUAGCUAGUUGGUAAGGUAACGGCUUACCAAGGCAACGAUGGGUAGGGGUCCUGAGAGGGAGAUCCCCCACACUGGUACUGAGACGCGGACCAGACUCCUACGGGAGGCAGCAGUGAGGAAUAUUGGACAAUGGGCGCAAGCCUGAUCCAGCCAUGCCGCGUGCAGGAUGACGGUCCUAUGGAUUGUAAACUGCUUUUGUACGAGAAGAAACACUCCGACGUGUCGGAGCUUGACGGUAUCGUAAGAAUAAGGAUCCGGCUAAACUCCGUGCCAGCAGCCG
Molecule: ribosomal RNA, 488 nt
Filed under: uncultured bacterium
Lineage: Bacteria
Description: bacterial SSU rRNA
Rfam family: Bacterial small subunit ribosomal RNA
Source: RNAcentral